UUGUAUUGAUCCUGGCUCAGAUUGAACGCUGGCGGCAUGCCUUACACAUGCAAGUCGAACGGCAGCACGGGGGCAACCCUGGUGGCGAGUGGCGAACGGGUGAGUAAUACAUCGGAACGUGUCCUGGAGUGGGGGAUAGCCCGGCGAAAGCCGGAUUAAUACCGCAUACGCUCUGAGGAGGAAAGGGGGGGAUCGCAAGACCUCUCGCUCAAGGGGCGGCCGAUGGCAGAUUAGGUAGUUGGUGGGGUAAAGGCCUACCAAGCCGACGAUCUGUAGCUGGUCUGAGAGGACGACCAGCCACACUGGGACUGAGACACGGCCCAGACUCCUACGGGAGGCAGCAGUGGGGAAUUUUGGACAAUGGGCGCAAGCCUGAUCCAGCAAUGCCGCGUGUGUGAAGAAGGCCUUCGGGUUGUAAAGCACUUUUGUCCGGAAAGAAAACUUCUGUCCUAAUACGGCGGGGGGAUGACGGUACCGGAAGAAUAAGCACCGGCUU
RNAcentral lists this ribosomal RNA (496 nucleotides) under Burkholderia sp. HPML51. RNAcentral describes it as "bacterial SSU rRNA". It matches the Rfam family "Bacterial small subunit ribosomal RNA", at positions 1 to 499 of the family's 1533-position model. The record is from RNAcentral. Lineage: Bacteria; Pseudomonadati; Pseudomonadota; Betaproteobacteria; Burkholderiales; Burkholderiaceae.